This is a long non-coding RNA of Ictalurus punctatus (channel catfish), 6316 nucleotides long. RefSeq lists it as uncharacterized. The transcript has 5 exons. NCBI's taxonomy places the organism in Eukaryota, Metazoa, Chordata, Actinopteri, Siluriformes, Ictaluridae. The record is from RefSeq and is a predicted model, not a curated record.
UUGUUUCAUGGCGGUUUGGUGCACUUCCGCCACCUACUGGGUUGGAGUGUAGAGCAUCAACGCGAAGGCAAAAAAACCCCCUAAAAACAAAGAAAAACUAUCGACUAUAUCCUUCUAUACAACUUUGUUCCCUUAAGACAAUGACGUGAGAGGCCGUUGACGUUGGCCUGACAGAGUCAGCGGUUUCAUUCCUCUUUGAGGGAUCAUUUAAAAAGCAAGCGAAAUUCCAUCGAUUUGUACAACAGAUGAAGGAAACCAUGAUGUUAACACUUGAACCUGAAAUAUAUCAACAGAAAACACUAUUUGAACAGAUCAGGUAGGAGCUUUAACAUGGAGAAAAAGCAGGGUGCACGUUCUCAGCCCAGCGUGCCCAGAGUUUUUGGUGCAACACUAUUAUUUAUGUUUACUGUGUAAUCAUGUGUUCAUUAAAUUUACCACUGCAUAUGAAUUGACAAAAAGGUUGAACAGGAAAAGGGUAGGGCAAGUUAGUAUUAUUGUUAGUUAAUUAAUGCAGUAAUUGGUCUUUUCAGUAUUAAAAACAGGUACUGUACAGUAUAUUAUGUAUACCCCUUAGAGAUUGACCGAGAGUGGAUUUUACCGAUAUCGAUAACUGUUGAGCGGUACCGACCUGCUGAUAACCAGGUAUAAGAUAAGUAUCUGCCUGUACUUCUCAGCAUUGAGGAGACCAUUAAUUCUGACCAAAUCCCCACUCCAUUUGCAGAAAUGCAGCCCCAAACUUGCAAGGAACCUCCACCAUGCUUCACUGUUGCCUGUACCACUCUCCAGCCCUUUAACAAACUGCCUUCUGCUAUAGCCAAAUAUGUCAAAUUUUGACUCAUCAAUCCAAAGCUGCCAUUUUUCUGCUCCCAAGUUCUUCGUGCAUAGUUUAGUUGCUUGGCCCUGUUUCCACGUUGGAGAUAUGUUUUUUUGGCCACAAGUCUUCCAUGAAGGCCACUUCUGACCAGACUUCUUUGGACUGUAGAUGGGUGUACCAGACUCCCACUGGUUUCUACCAGGUCUGAGCUGGUGGCACUGCUGGACAUCUUCCAAUUGCGAAGGGAAGUAAGUCUGAUGUGUCUCUGACCUGCUGCAGUACGUUUCCUUGGCCGACCACUGCAUCUACGGUCCUCAACGUUGUCUGUUUCUUUGUGCUUCUUCAAAAGAGCUAGCACCUGUUUAGUAUAAUUGUUUAAUCAUACACCUGACUAUAUGCCUACAAAAUCCACGACCGUGUGUAAGAGUACCUAGAAGAACGGAUGCUGUUUUGAAGGCAAAGGGUGGUCGCACGAAAUAUUGAUUUGAUGUAGAUUUUUCUACUGUUUGCUCACUUUGCAUUUUGUUCAUUGAUAAAUAUAAACUUUUUCUAUUUGUCUAUUUUUGAAAGCAUUCUUACUGUACAGCAUUUUUCACACCUGCCUAAAACUUUUGCACAGUACUGUACAUAUGAACUAUAUUAAUAAAUAUUAAAGUAAAUAAGAUAAUACAUCCAAACUGAACCACAUGGGAAGUAUCCCAUCCUGUGCAGAGUGUGUAGCCUCACGUGUCAAAACAAACACCAUGAGGUGUCAGCUGACCCUUCUCAGCUGCUCCCGCAAUGGAUGUAACCGGGAAAAACUAUGUUAUUAUUGCUAAUAACCGACAGUUCCAGCAAUCAGUUAUCGACAAAACUCAUCAAUCAGUUGACCUCUAAUACCUGUAACACUGCAAUGCCUAAUUAUUACUUUCUCUUUUUUACCACAGUAUCAGUCCAUCAACAGGUUUUCUUGCAGUUUUUUAAGUUCCUAAGUUUCCUUUUGAUGUUCAGGCCAAGUUGGACCAAAAACAACGCAAACUUUCGACAUCAGAGAAACAAAAUGAUAAAAACAUUGUAUGAAAGCAUGGCUCAGUACAAGAUGUGUCUGACUAAGGAAGAGUAUGUUCGAGUGGCUAAGGCCCUGACUCUGAGGUACCCCUUUUUAAAGGACAAAGAGGGCAAUGGAGAUGUAUUAUUUUGAAUAGCACACAUGGCACACGUCUCUGAAACGCACGAUUAAAUUUGAGCGGACACGUUCGGCUGAUGUUGAAAAGAUUUAAACAGAAGUUUUAGUCAUUCGAAAAAAGCCUCUGCAACCUGACAGCAGUGGCAAAAAAAUUGCAAGGCCUUUGGUGAGAGAAUAUAUUUUAUUUUUACAAUGAUUUAUUUUUCCUAUGAUUUUACUUAUGAUUGUGUCUUUGUAAACUAAUUGCAGCUUUAUCAAGAAAUUGGUUUCCUGUAUAAAUCUGUUAACCUAUGUCGCCAAGUUCAAGAAAAUUCAGGGCUGCUCCGUGUGACCAAGGGGCGGUGUUAUCAAGUCCUGUGCAUCCUCAUCCACUCCCAGAUUCACUUUGUUCUUCAUUUUGCGUCUCAAAGAAUGGAAAAAAAAGACAUUGAGUUACCAAUCGAGAAUCAAUGUUCUUGAAAAAGCAUCCAGUGUGCUACGGCUUGCUCAAGGGAAAUCUCUUUUAGCAAAGCUGCACAAAGAGACUAGAGAAGAAUCUCUCUGUGAAGACCACCUUGGUAUUGAUUUCAAAGCAGCUCUUUUGAUGUUGCCAGCCUUGUUUGAGGAGAAACUCGAACAUUUCAUUGUGCUUGGGGGGGUGCGCAUAUAGUUCUGUCUAUGCCUUGUAUGUCCGUGAUAAAUGCAUUUAUGCAUUUUAGAAUUCUUAAACUUUAUUUACUGUGUCCACAUAGAAAUAGGAUGAAUAAUAAUUAUCUUACACUUCAUGCACGUAGAUUAUUUCACUUAAGUCAUCUGCUGUGAAAAUCUGUCUGAGAUCAAAUCUGAUUUGUGCUCUGUCAUUUAGAAUGAACCAUCAUCACCAUAUCCAACUGUUCAAGUACCAGAAGUCACUGACUGGAAAACUGUGUUUACAAGAAGAGUCACUGCAGUCUUCACAAAUUUUAGAGAAUCUUUUAUUUAUUUAUGGAAUGUUUUUAAAUCGGAGAAGGUGGCGUUUAGUUCUGUACAACAGUGGUGGGAUGUGGCUCAAGCUCAAAUUAACGCAUUUUGUCAACAGUACACUCUUAAUGUCACAAGAGACAUUGUCAGAUCUCUGAAAGCCCUGGAGACUGGAAUAGUGGAACUCCAGUGUUUGGAGACCACAGGAGUUCGAGGGCAGAUUGAAGCCCUCAAAAGUAAAAAAGCUAUAAUGAAUGACCUGUUGGGCAUCACAGCACAGGGGGCGCUGGUCCGCUCACGCUUUAAAAGCAUGAAUGAGACGGAUGCUCCUUCUAAGUUCUUUUUUGGUCUAGAGCAGAAGAAUGGACAGAAGAGCUUCAUACAUGCUGUGCGAACAGAAUCAGGGGAUCUUCCGUCAGAUCCCACUGAAAUCCGCAAGCAGACAGUUAGCUUCUACUCGAAGCUGUACAGCAGCGAGCGGUCAGGGGCACAGAUAGUGGAGGAGAGCUUCCUCAAGAACCUGCCGAAACUCUCGGAGCAUGUGGCCAGAGAUAUGGACGUAGAGAACCUGCCGAAACCUUAAGAACCUGCCAAAACUCUCGGAGCAUGUGGCCAGAGAUAUGGACGUAGAGCUAACGCUGGUAGAGCUCUAUGAGGCUCUCCAAGGGAUGGAGAACGGACGGGCGCCAGGCAUAGACGGUCUCCCUGUAGAGUUCUACAAAGCCUUCUGGACAGUUGUAGGGCAGGAUGUGCUAGAAGUGUUGCUAGACAGUGUGAAGGGAGGUGAGCUCCCAUUGAGCUGCAGGAGAGCCGUCCUGACCCUCCUACAAAAAAAGGGAGACCUGACACACUUGAAGAACUGGCACCCGGUCUCACUGUUUUCCACUGACUACAAGCUGCUCUCAAAAGCAUUAGCUUAAGACUGACUAAGGUAAUGGAGCAAAUCAUGACCAGACGUACUAUGGGCCUGGCCGGUCUAUAUUUGAUAACGUACACUUAAUUCGUGGCAUUUUGGAUGUCUCCAGGCUAUUGGGCUUAAAGACUGGUCUUAUUUUUCUAGAUCAGGAAAAGGCUUUUGACCGGGUUGAACAUGAAUACUUGUGGAAGGUGCUGGAAACCUUUGGUUUCAACCCAGGUUUCAUAGCCAUGAUCAAGACUUUGUACAGUGAAAUUGAGAGUGUACUGAAGGUUAAUGGUGGUUUGUGUGCCCCUUUUAGAGUCUACAGAGGUAUUAGACAAGGCUGUUCUCUGUCAGGUGUGCUGUACACCCUAGCAUUUGAACCUCUUUUAUGUAAACUGAGAGAUCAACUUUCUGGUUUUAAAAUGUCUCACUCCAGUGCUUCUCUCUGUCUCUCAGCAUAUGCAGAUGACCUGGUUGUAAUGCUGGGAGCACAGACUGAUGUGAAUAUUUUAAUUGAUGUUUUAAAAGAUUUUGAGAUUUUAUCAUCUGCCAAGGUCAACUGGGCCAAAAGCGAAGCCAUUUUAGUUGGAGAGUGGGGUGGUGGUGGGCAGCCCACAUUACCAGCUGGUUUGGUGUGGAAAAAGGGUGGUUUUAAGUACUUGGGUGUUUAUCUGGGCUGCAUUGAGUUUUUAAAUAAAAAUUGGGAGGGUGUUUUUGAACAGGUGAAGGACAAACUGAGCAGGUGGAAGUGGCUGGUCCCAAAAAUGUCUUACAGGGGACAAACGCUGAUCAUCAACAACUUGGCAGCACCAAUCCUGUGACUUGCUCUCAAGCAUCCAGGCCCUGCUAGUGGACUUCUUCUGGGACAGACUACACUGGAUCCCUCAGUGUGUCCUUCAUCUGCCCAAGGAGGGGUGGGGGCAGGGGCUGGUCCACAUAGCCAGCAGAACUGCAACCUUGGCGACUCCAGUUCAUCCAGAGACUCCUCACUGGACCUAGGAGGUUGGUAUGGAGAUCAGCAGCCUAUAGGCUGUUACACACAGUAGGAGGCCUGGGGUUGGACAGAACUUUGAUUUUAAUGGACACAAGAGCACUAGACUUUGCUGGAUUACCAGUUUUUUUAUCGUGGGCUUUUUAAAAUAUGGAACCUUUUUAAAAAACAAAUCAAGGAGUGCAGAACUCCACACUGGCUGCUGGAGGAACCCCUGGUUCAUGGUGGGCGAUUAGACAUCUCUGGUGUGACCACUCCUUCAUUAUCCAGGGUUCUGGUCUCCUCGGUUAUUGUGACACUCCGGCAGCUGGUGAACAUCACAGGGACGGACCUGUCACGGGCAGAGGACUAAGCAGCGCACCUGGGACUACGGUCCCUAUGUGUUGUGAAUAAGCUCCUACAUCGCUGGAGGUCCACCCUAACGUCAGAGGAGUGUGUUCAGCUGAUGGACAACUAAACAAGCGAGACUGGGCCUACAGAGGAGGAACCUUUUCCACAGCUGGGCAUCGCUCCAGAUCUAGAUGGGUGUGGGGGCCUUCUCGUGGAGUUCAGAGGUGACAUGAACAUUGAGACAGUGUCCGGUAAGCUUCUGAAAAAAGCCUGCAUGAAAGUUUUAAAUAAAAAACUGAAUGGGAGAGUGGACACCCCAUGGCGAAGUGUACUGGGUUUUAAUGAUGAUAUUAAACCACUGUUAACCAAAAAAUUCGCUGCCCUCCAAUGGAGGAUUUUACAUGGAAUUGUUUCUGUGAAUUCUUUUAUCUCCAUUUUGAACCCCAAGGUCACACAGGAAUGUCCGUUCUGUUCACAGAGAGAGACUGUUUUUCAUGCGUUUAUACAUUGCUCCAGGUUGCAGCCAUUGUUUGUCUUUUUAAAAAACAACCUGAGGUCAUUUUAUGUGGAUUUUACUUUUCAGAUUUUUAUCUUUGGUUCUAAGUACGUCAGAAGGAACAGGUUCAAAUGUCAGCUGAUCAAAUUUAUCGUUGGCCAGGCCAAAAUGGUGAUAUACCAGAGCAGAAAAAACCAAAGUGGCACAAAACACAGACUGCGACGCCAUAAAAGUUCUCUCCAGACUGAUCAAAUCACGAAUUCUGAUCGAUUUGAACGUUUACAGUAGUAUGGGAGACUUGGAGAUGUUCAAGGCAGGGUUGUGUUGCGAGGAGGCUCUGUGUUCUGUAGUGGAGGGAGAACUUUGUUUUACACCAGCAUUAGGCUGAUAAUGUUCUGAACAACCAAUUGUUGUUGCGCUGACUUAUUUAUUUAAUUGACUUUUUUUAAUGCUCAUUUAAAUAUUUAUUUAUUUAUUGAGUCACCUUGACUUGAAUGUGCAUGGUGUGACUUUUGAUAAAUAAAGCAUUGUAAAAAGUCUCUCUCUCUCUCUCUCUCUCUCGUAUAUAAAACAUUAACCUCGAUGUAUACACCAGGGGAAAAAAAUGAAAAAAAUGAAUUCAAGUAAAAUUAUAAUUGAUUAAUUCAAGAGUGAACAUACAUUCCUUAUUAUGGCUUCUU